AGAGUUUGAUCCUGGCUCAGAUUGAACGCUGGCGGCAUGCCUUACACAUGCAAGUCGAACGGUAACAGGCCGCAAGGUGCUGACGAGUGGCGAACGGGUGAGUAAUGCAUCGGAACGUGCCCAGUAGUGGGGGAUAGCCCGGCGAAAGCCGGAUUAAUACCGCAUACGACCUACGGGUGAAAGCGGGGGACCGAAAGGCCUCGCGCUAUUGGAGCGGCCGAUGUCAGAUUAGGUAGUUGGUGUGGUAAUGGCGCACCAAGGCGACGAUCCAUAGCUGGUCUGAGAGGAUGAUCAGCCACACUGGGACUGAGACACGGCCCAGACUCCUACGGGAGGCAGCAGUGGGGAAUAUUGGACAAUGGGGGCAACCCUGAUCCAGCCAUGCCGCGUGAGUGAAGAAGGCCUUAGGGUUGUAAACCGCUUUUGUCAGGGAAGAAAUCUUCUGGGUUAAUACCUCGGGAGGAUGACGGUACCUGAAGAAUAAGCACCGGCUAACUACGUGCCAGCAGCCGCGGUAAU
Molecule: ribosomal RNA, 519 nt
Filed under: uncultured bacterium
Lineage: Bacteria
Description: bacterial SSU rRNA
Rfam family: Bacterial small subunit ribosomal RNA
Source: RNAcentral